Long non-coding RNA from Drosophila sulfurigaster albostrigata, 1086 nucleotides. RefSeq lists it as uncharacterized. The transcript is spliced from 2 exons. NCBI's taxonomy places the organism in Eukaryota, Metazoa, Arthropoda, Insecta, Diptera, Drosophilidae. The record is from RefSeq and is a predicted model, not a curated record.
ACACUAUUCUUAUUUAAUUUAAACAGGAACGCAACAUUUGUUGAAAUUUAACAUAUUUUGUUACAGCAGCUUUGGAAUAGCUUUUGUAAGCAUUGGCUUUUCUUCAUAUUCAUAUUAAAUUGAAAAGAAUUUUUAAAGACUAAAAAUAAGUAAAGUGGGGAACCGGUUGAUACAGUCGCUAUCAGCUUAGCACUCAAUUAACUUGAGACGAAAGCGCCACACAAGGACUGACUCCAGCGCUGAUCAACAAUUGUUGUCAAUUGGAAAUAGGAAACCUUUUAAUUAACUGAAGUACUGGAGCAGCUAUUGUAUCCCCGUUAUUGAUUCAGGUCUUUUUUCGAGAGCCGUGUGAACAAGUGUACGGAUUUUCACGUAAUUUCCGGAGUGCACGACCGAUUACAAUUACAACACCAAUCAAAAUACAACAAAGCAAAUCAAGUGACACACUAAAUUUUUAUGGAAAAUUAAGUUAGCGUAAGUUGGUAGCUGAAUGAGGGAUGAAAAUGCUUGAACAAGCUGCCUACGGGUUAGCUUGAAAUACAUAUAGCGAGAAAGUAACCACUGAAAGUCAAAGACAAUGUCAACUACACCCAAAGGUUAGCUAAAGUCUUCGCAGAAAUAUUUAAUACAAUACUCGAACAUCUCUGUAGUAAAAUAAGCUUAUAGCUGAAAGUGCAACAUAUUUUCGUAAUGUCGUUUCAUAUUCGUUUUGCUUUAUCCGCAGCCAUGAAGACGAAGAACAAUUAGGAUUCGUCACAGCAGCCGCCACUUUAGUUAUUACUCGGGUAAUUCUGGCAUACGCGUAAUUGCGUAUUCAGCCCAUUUUUCGAAUGCGAGUGGUAAUGCCAGAUUAAAGUGUUGCUUGCAACAUACGUAACUCAACGGUAUAUUAUUGAUUCAUUUUUAAAUUACGAGUAAUGCGUUGAAUCUCCGCUUUGCAAAUAAUAUGUAUAAUAAACACAAGUACUUGUACCCACAUUUGUUUUGGGUAGCAGCUAAAGAAGCACCCACAAUGAUGAUUCCACGCUUAUCUAUGUGCGGUUGGUGUGUGAAGAGUUCUGGGUCAGGGUCCUCGGCCCGAAAAAG